Molecule: non-coding RNA, 81 nt
Organism: Oryzias latipes (Japanese medaka)
Lineage: Eukaryota; Metazoa; Chordata; Actinopteri; Beloniformes; Adrianichthyidae
Source: Rfam
CUGUUAUCAAGUUCAAGUAAUCCAGGAUAGGCUGUUUGUAUCCUGGUUGGCCUAUUCAUGAUUACUUGCACUGGGUGGCAG